This 253-nucleotide ribosomal RNA is filed under the name uncultured bacterium. RNAcentral's name for it is "partial 16S ribosomal RNA". It matches the Rfam family "Bacterial small subunit ribosomal RNA", at positions 524 to 776 of the family's 1533-position model. The record is from RNAcentral.
UACGUAGGUGGCAAGCGUUGUCCGGAUUUACUGGGCGUAAAGAGCGCGCAGGCGGUCGUUCAAGUCGCGUGUGAAAGCCCCCGGCUCAACUGGGGAGGGUCACGCGAUACUGAUCGACUGGAAGGCAGGAGAGGGUAGUGGAAUUCCAGGUGUAGCGGUGAAAUGCGUAGAUAUCUGGGGGAACACCGGUGGCGAAGGCGGCAUUCUGGACCGAAACUGACGCUGAGGCGCGAAAGCCAGGGGAGCAAACGGG